CCAGGGAAAUUUAGAAAAGAGAAAGUUGGUUAAAAUUAAAAUAAAUAAUAAAGCCAAAAAAAUUAGAGAUAAGGGCUAGGGAUUCUAUAAGGGGGAUACCACAUGGAACAUAUAUUGGUGUUUAAUUUAAAACUUGUAGGGAAAUAUUUUAGGAAUGUAUUUCUAAGUAUGAAUAUGAAC
Notechis scutatus (mainland tiger snake) is the source of this 180-nucleotide non-coding RNA. Lineage: Eukaryota; Metazoa; Chordata; Lepidosauria; Squamata; Elapidae. The record is from RefSeq and is a predicted model, not a curated record.